AUACGUAGGGGGCGAGCGUUGUCCGGAAUGAUUGGGCGUAAAGGGCGCGUAGGCGGCUUUGCAAGUCAGUAGUGGAAGUCCAUUUUUCAAGGAUGGAGGUGCUACAGAAACUGCGGAGCUUGAGUGCAGGAGAGGUUAUCGGAAUUCCCGGUGUAGCGGUGAAAUGCGUAGAGAUCGGGAGGAACACCAGUGGCGAAGGCGCCUUCCUGGCACAAUACUGACGCUCAUGUGCGAAAGCUAGGGUAGCGAACGGGAUUAGAUACCCCGGUAGUCCUAGCCGUAAACGAUGGAUACUAGGUGUGGGUGUCGCAGGGCAUCCGUGCCGCAGCUAACGCGUUAAGUAUCCCGCCUGGGGACUACGGUCGCAAGACUGAAACUCAAAUGAAUUGACGGGG
This 395-nucleotide ribosomal RNA is filed under the name uncultured bacterium. RNAcentral's name for it is "partial 16S ribosomal RNA". It matches the Rfam family "Bacterial small subunit ribosomal RNA", at positions 523 to 918 of the family's 1533-position model. The record is from RNAcentral.